This 1199-nucleotide long non-coding RNA is filed under the name Nicotiana benthamiana. Its description in RNAcentral is "long non-coding RNA (NBEN_LNC029019)". Lineage: Eukaryota; Viridiplantae; Streptophyta; Magnoliopsida; Solanales; Solanaceae. The record is from RNAcentral.
GGGUGAAAGGCUUCAAAAAUCCAAAGCGGCCUUUAGCUUAGAUGCCAAGAAUGUUCCAUUGAAGUCAAGAGCGUCCAUUUGAAGCAGAAGCAAAUUUCAAUUUCAAGCAAGCUUCAUGCAAAAAAUGAUUACAACUAUUCAAUGAAACCUAAGAAACGUGAAAUAUCAGAAGAUUAAUUUUUUUGAUUUGGACAAAAGGGACUAACGUCCCAAAAAUUUAGACAAGCAGCAACAAUUUCGUUCAAAUUCAAAGAAGCAGAAGGUUCAUUUCGUGCCAAUAAUUCGAGGAAGAGGUAGGUUAAGGCUCUCCUUUUUUCUUUUGGCAUUGUUCAAAUUAUACUGAAGAAACGAACAAAUAUACAGUUGUUAUAAAUUACUUUAUUAAUAAAAAUAGCAUGGGUAUCUAUAUUCUUGAUUUCCCUAUUAUCUUCUGUUCAUUAGUCCCAGAAUAAUACAAAGUUGAAAAAGUUUAUCCAGAAGGAAUAUCGAGAUUAUUACGUAUUUUUCAUGCAUUUCAUACAUUUAUACAUGUGCAUUGACAAUAAACAGAUGGCGUUAUAUACGCGUAUAUAUGUAUAUUAUAUUUAUAUAAGGAUACGGAAAAAAGGUUACGGCGUUAUAUAUGCACCGCCACUUGAUCAGCUGGUAUAUGAUCAUGAUGUUGGCCACAGUGGCUGAAAUAUGACUCAAAUGGCGUUAUACACGCGUAUAAAUGUAUGUAUAUGUAUUUGGGAUAUGGAAAAGAGUUACGACGUUAUAUACGCACCACCACUUGAUCAGCUGGUAUAUAUUGAUUAUAUUUCCCACAGUGGCCGAGGUGAUAUGAUGGGAUGCCCUCAAGUGAUUGAUGAUAUUAUGUACACCCAUACCUAUGCGUGGCAUGACAUUUACACGCACGUGCAUGAUGUUAUAAAAGUUUCCGAAUUUACAAAGUUAUUCAGAUUUAAAGAUUUGUUUCAGUAUUCCGUGUUUGAUUUAUGUCUUUUACGUACUAAUUUUCGUAUCUUACAUACCAAGUACAUUUUUUGUACUGACGUCCUAUUUCACGGGGCCUGCGUUUCAUGCCUGCAGGUAGGCAAGCUGACGGUCCCCCUUCUUAGGAUCGUUGAUCAGCAAGCGUUGGCGUACUUCAUUUGAUCUGGAGCUACCUUUGAUAUUGAUACGAUACGUAUGUAUGUAUGUAUGUAUAUAUAUAUAUA